AGUUCAUAAUCAUGGUUUAUAUCUUUCCUCGGUGUACAUAUAAAUGUAGUGGAUUGUUGAAGACCUAUGCGUUUGAUGAUACCACAAUUGGAUCAUGGAUGAUUGGCGUCCAGGCAACAUAUAUAGACGACAAUCGCCUUUGCUGCAGCAGCACAAGACAAGAAAAAGUAUGUUCCAUGGCAUGAUCGAUGCAUAGCUGAUCCUCUUGGCCCCAAGCAAAGUCACGACGGUUUCUCAUUGCAUUCAUGGUGCUUCGAUCCUCUUUGAAGCAAAUUCUUGGACCCGAAACCAAAUUUAUAAUUCGUUUUGUUAGAAUGAGUAUGAUUAGGCCAUUUGUUACAGUUUGUGAUUAGGACACAUCCCUUGAGCUUUGGAGUAAGAAAAUGGGGGAAUGGUAUAGUUGUGAAUGAAGUAUAAUUUUUCCGUUGUUUAUCAUUUCUCCGUCCAUUUUAGCUCAAUCUCUGAGAAGACUUUUUAUUUUGUUAUUUUCUGGUUAAUAAUAUCAAAAUAGUAUGUGUAGAUA
This is a non-coding RNA of Camelina sativa (false flax), 523 nucleotides long. Lineage: Eukaryota; Viridiplantae; Streptophyta; Magnoliopsida; Brassicales; Brassicaceae. The record is from RefSeq and is a predicted model, not a curated record.